GUCCAGCAGCCGCGGUAAUACCGGCCGCCCGAGUGAUGGCCGAUAUUAUUGGGCCUAAAGCGUCCGUAGCUGGCCGAACAAGUCCGUCGGGAAAUCCACGUGCUUAACACGUGGGCGACCGGCGGAAACUGUUCGGCUUGGGGCCGGAGGACCCGAGGGGUACGUCCGGGGUAGGAGUGAAAUCCUGUAAUCCUGGACGGACCGCCGGUGGCGAGAGCGCCUCGGGAAGACGGACCCGACAGUGAGGGACGAAAGCUGGGAGCUCGAACCGGAUUAGAAACCCUAGUAGCC
Molecule: ribosomal RNA, 291 nt
Filed under: uncultured bacterium
Lineage: Bacteria
Description: partial 16S ribosomal RNA
Rfam family: Archaeal small subunit ribosomal RNA
Source: RNAcentral